Molecule: unclassified non-coding RNA, 159 nt
Filed under: uncultured fungus
Lineage: Eukaryota; Fungi
Description: sequence contains ITS1
Source: RNAcentral
UUCAUUCUUUGCUUUGUAUUCAGACACAAACGGCAGAAUUAUAGCAUAAAAGCGGCGCCGGAGCGCCGAAGCACGUUUUUAAACAUCCACUGGUUUGAGGGGUUUUGAAGGUACAAAGACCAUUCGUUAAUGAUCCCUCCGCAGGUUCACCUACGGAGA